RNAcentral lists this ribosomal RNA (407 nucleotides) under uncultured bacterium. Its description in RNAcentral is "partial 16S ribosomal RNA". It matches the Rfam family "Bacterial small subunit ribosomal RNA", at positions 30 to 526 of the family's 1533-position model. The record is from RNAcentral.
AUUGAACGCUAGCGGGAUGCCUUACACAUGCAAGUCGAACGGAGUGGCGAACGGGUGAGUAAUGUAUCGGAACGUGCCCAGUAGCGGGGGAUAAAUAAGCGAAAGCGUAGCUAAUACCGCAUACUAUUGGAGCGGCCGAUAUCGGAUUAGCUAGAUGGUGGGGUAACGGCGCACCAAGGCGACGAUCCGUAGCUGGUUGGAGAGGACGAACUGGCACACUGUGACUGAGACACGGCCCAGACUCCUACGGGAGACAGCAGUGGGGAAUUUUGGACAAUUGGGGAAACCCUGAUCCAGCCAUCCCGCGUGUGCGAUGAAGGCCUUCGGGUUGUAAAGCACUUUUGGCAGGAAAGCGGUACCUGCAGAAUAAGCACCGGCUAACGACGUGCCAGCACCGCCGGUAAUUC